Molecule: long non-coding RNA, 1384 nt
Organism: Astatotilapia calliptera (eastern happy)
Lineage: Eukaryota; Metazoa; Chordata; Actinopteri; Cichliformes; Cichlidae
Source: Ensembl
GUUGAUUCUCUCGCUUAUGCAACUGAAAGCAUAUCUACUGAUUUUUUCAUCUCCUAUUUUUGAUUUAAUUAACAUGCAACAUGUUUCACUUUCAGCCGUGCAGCUCGUAAAUUGUCGUCCUUGGAGAAACAUAUCGUAAUUUUUAAGGAGUACCUAUGCUUGAAAAAUAUGCGGGUCCAGAAAAACAGGAAUAAAACAGGUCAGGAUGAAAAUGAAGAAGAACAGGAGGAGAAGGAGGAUGAUUUUGUCCGAUAGUAACCCGGGCAGUGGAGGAAGGGAGGUUUGUCCGAUAGUAACCUCGGCACAGAGAAUGAUGGAGAAAAGCAGAGUAGGAGGGGGUGGUGUACAUAUCACCUAAAUUUAACUCCGCAUCGCAAAAAUGUGUCACAUCUGUUUGCUGUGCUUUAAAGAAAUUACUGCCCUAAAACUGCAUGGUUUUUAAAACCGUGUCAGUGCCACAUUACACCCGUGGUCUUUUGCACUAAGCAAUGCGGCGAGAUAAACACGACACGGGAGUUUAUUAUUAUUUUUUCUUAUAUUUGCAUAUAUUUAUCUAAUGACUGUCACAGAUAACAUUGAAUUGGUCUAAAUACAAUAGGACACCUUUCUCCUAACUGUGCAGCAGGCUACACAAAUGACUCCCGUAUUCAGGAGUUCUGUUAUACCGACUCCCUGCAUGCAACGUAGACAUCUUAUGUAACAUUAAGGAGCUGUGGGAAAUUUGAUUGACUAAAACAUUAGUAACAUAACAUAAUAAUGAGGUUCUUUCCCCCACUUGUUCUAAAUUCCGGACUAUUGUGUUCUAUUGUCUGGCAUUCGUGUAGGGCAGUAUCAUUUAUGAUUAUGGCAGCAAGUGUCACUGUUCCUUAAGUGCUCCACAGAAUGCAGUUUACCUUCCUCUCUUCUCAGGAAGUGAAAAAUGCAGAAUGUCCUAAAGACACAUGCAUAACACAAUCAGCGUAGUCUUUAAAUUCAUAUUUGUCAGAUGUCAGCGGACAUACAUAUUUAGCCUAUCUGGAAAAAUGAGCCCACGUUAAAGAUGUGUGCUAGUAUCUACAUCUAGAUGAAGGUACUAGCGAUUUAUCUGUGGACAUCAUUAAUGGAAUAUAACAUCAGUGUGGAAGUCAUUGCCUUUAAUCAUUGCCUAAAGCAGGAGGCUGGCUGGAGUUAUUAAAAAAAAAAAUAAAUUAAAAAAUGGUACUUUAUUCUACUGCAGUCUGUGCCCUGUGAUAUUUUUUGUGUUUGACUUUUGUGUUACAAUAUGUAUAUUUAUCAUAUUUAUUGUGUAUGUUAUUCAUUUAAAUAUUUUUUAAAGGCCCAACAAGGGACAGACAUAUUUCUUUUUCUAUUUCUUUUUCCAUCUUUAAUCUUACGGUUUUCGGAG